AUCCGGCUGACGAGUCCCAAAUAGGACGAAAAGCACAUCAAACUGGAU
This is a non-coding RNA of Schistosoma rodhaini, 48 nucleotides long. Lineage: Eukaryota; Metazoa; Platyhelminthes; Trematoda; Strigeidida; Schistosomatidae. The record is from Rfam.